RNAcentral lists this ribosomal RNA (696 nucleotides) under uncultured bacterium. RNAcentral's name for it is "bacterial SSU rRNA". It matches the Rfam family "Bacterial small subunit ribosomal RNA", at positions 8 to 749 of the family's 1533-position model. The record is from RNAcentral.
AGAGUUUGAUCCUGGCUCAGGAUGAACGCUGGCGGCGUGCCUAACACAUGCAAGUCGAACGAAGCCUUCGGGCUGAGUGGCGGACGGGUGAGUAACGCGUGAGAAUCUACCUCUAGGACGGGGAUAACAGUUGGAAACGACUGCUAAUACCCGAUGAGCCGCAAGGUAAAAUGUAAUUCGCCUAGAGAGGAGCUCGCGUCCGAUUAGCUAGUUGGUGGGGUAAAAGCCUACCAAGGCAACGAUCGGUAACUGGUCUGAGAGGAUGAGCAGCCACACUGGGACUGAGACACGGCCCAGACUCCUACGGGAGGCAGCAGUGGGGAAUUUUCCGCAAUGGGCGAAAGCCUGACGGAGCAACGCCGCGUGGGGGAAGAAGGUUCUUGGAUUGUAAACCCCUUUUCUCAGGGAAGAAGAUCUGACGGUACCUGAGGAAUCAGCCUCGGCUAACUCCGUGCCAGCAGCCGCGGUAAUACGGAGGAGGCAAGCGUUAUCCGGAAUUAUUGGGCGUAAAGCGUUCGUAGGCGGUCGUUCAAGUCUGCUGUCAAAGACCGAGGCUCAACCUCGGGUCGGCAGUGGAAACUGGGUGACUAGAGGUCGGUAGGGGCAGAGGGAAUUCCCAGUGUAGCGGUGAAAUGCGUAGAUAUUGGGAAGAACACCGGUGGCGAAAGCGCUCUGCUAGACCGAAUCUGACGCUGA